UAACCUGGUUGAUCCUGCCAGUUAGUCAUAUGCUUGUCUCAAAGAUUAAGCCAUGCAUGUCUUAGUGUAAAUAACGUUUAUGAAACUGCGAAUGGCUCAUUAAAUCAGUUAUCAAAUACGUGAUGGUCGCAAACUACAUGGAUAACCGUAGUAAUUCUAGAGCUAAUACAUGCACAAAGCCAUGUUCACGCAU
RNAcentral lists this ribosomal RNA (193 nucleotides) under uncultured eukaryote. Its description in RNAcentral is "partial 18S ribosomal RNA". It matches the Rfam family "Eukaryotic small subunit ribosomal RNA", at positions 1 to 194 of the family's 1831-position model. The record is from RNAcentral.